Molecule: long non-coding RNA, 428 nt
Filed under: Gallus gallus (chicken)
Lineage: Eukaryota; Metazoa; Chordata; Aves; Galliformes; Phasianidae
Source: RNAcentral
GAAACAACCCGGACAAUAACUGUGGCAUCAGGGAUCCUCUCAGCAAUCAGACAUGGCACUAUCCAGGAUUGUAAAGAAUAAAGAUGAAACAGAUUAAAGUUCGUUCCCUCAAGGAUGACUUUGGUCUGAAACUCCAAAAUGCAAACCCAAAUUGACUAAGAAGCAUCAAAACCUGAGUGAUUUGGUUACAUGUACUUUAUGUAUCUUGGUCAUCAAAGAAGAUCUAGAGGCAAGUUUGCUCACAAUUGUAUCUUAAUUUAUUCAAAAUCUUGUACAUGUGAUAGUAAGCCUUUCUGUAAGAAAGGGCUAAGUUUUAAAUUUACAGUGAAACCCUAAACCAGCUUAGUUUCAUGUGGUUUCAGAUUUUGUUAUGAAUGUUUUGGAGGAAUAAUGUUUGUUUCUGGUAAACCUUGGGAAGGAAAGUCAGA